AACGAACGCUGGCGGCAUGCCUAACACAUGCAAGUCGAACGAGACCUUCGGGUCUAGUGGCGCACGGGUGCGUAACGCGUGGGAACCUGCCCUUAGGUUCGGAAUAACUCCCCGAAAGGGGUGCUAAUACCGGAUAAUGUCUUCGGACCAAAGAUUUAUCGCCUUUGGAUGGGCCCGCGUUGGAUUAGCUAUUUGGUAGGGUAAAAGCCUACCACGGCGACGAUCCAUAGCUGGUCUGAGAGGAUGAUCAGCCACACUGGGACUGAGACACGGCCCAGACGCCUACGGGAGGCAGCAGUGGGGAAUAUUGGACAAUGGGCGAAAGCCUGAUCCAGCAAUGCCGCGUGAGUGAUGAAGGCCUUAGGGUUGUAAAGCUCUUUUACCCGGGAUGAUAAUGACAGUACCGGGAGAAUAAGCUCCGGCUAACUCCGUG
Molecule: ribosomal RNA, 433 nt
Filed under: uncultured bacterium
Lineage: Bacteria
Description: partial 16S ribosomal RNA
Rfam family: Bacterial small subunit ribosomal RNA
Source: RNAcentral